CUCAGUCAUAAAAGAUUAUAUUUUCCCUACCUCUUUACUGCUUGGUGGUGGCACUACACAGCAUGGUAGCCCCACUUCUUCUGCACAGAACUCAUGUUUCAGUGCUCUGCCUGGAGGACUGUACAAAAUAAAGUUUUCCAUGGUAAUCAAGUCAAAAUGACAUGUCCCCAUUUCCUAAUACAACCCUGAAAGUGCUGAACAGCAGUAAAACAAACACUUAAUGCAUUUACGGUUUAAACACACUUAAAACAAAGAUCCUAAAGCCUUUACAAAAACAAACUGCACUUCUCAACCAUCUUGCUGGAAUUCUAGUGUCCAUCAUAAAGAUUUUCCAGCUACAGAUUAUUUUUAGUUCAAGUUUCAACUCAGUAAAUUAAAGCAUACAGACUGAAAGUGCAUCCAAAUAUCAUAGUCAGUUUAAGUUGUUUGAUUUUUUUCACAAUUUAAGAUAUGAUGCAUAGAUCUCCAGUGAAGACAUGAUGGUUUAUUCACAUCAUCCCACAGAUGAAGAGAGUCCCAUGUGUUUAUAUGGUGCAGGGCUGGUUUGCUUCAGCAGACGAGUGCAUAUUAGCAAACUGAAAAGGAAUGCAGCAGCCCAUCUCCUAUAAACACCAUUUGGCUAUUUAAGCCUACACUGCACUAGAAAUAGAAUUAUAUCUCACAAACACCACCAAAUGCCGGAGCAUAUAAUUUAUUCACUGCACGCUAUAUUAUUUUCAAAUCAGAUUUUAUCUGUCUCUGACUAUAUAAAGCUGGGGAAAUAGUCUCAUACACAUGGAACACUUCUGUACUGAGGAAUUACACCACUUUGGAAUCAAUUUACAGGCUAUGCAUUGAAGAUCAAUCUACAAGGCAGAUUCAGAUUUUGAUUUGGGUCUUGCUUCUGGUUCAGUGACUGACCUCAGACAUGUUCCCCAGCAUUUGGUUUUCACUGAGACUUUGCUGGCUCUACUUUUCUUCGUCCUAUACCAUCUUUUACUGCCAUCCCUGGUAUCUCCUCCUUGCUUAAACACAACCUCUGGAAUACUGUCUUCUCCAAACUAAGAACAAGAAUCCUAACAUUCCCACAAACACUGUUCAUUCAGGUGAAGACCACGCAGUCAGGUCUAUAGUCUCCAAACCUUCCUGCAAAUUGUCCCUUCUUUUGGCCAAAUAAGGAUCAUAAUCCAUUUUAGUGCCUCAACAUGUAAAGAUGAGGCAAAUUAAAAAAAAUAAAAAGGUUACAUUUGAUGAAGGCAGAUAAUGAAGCCUUAGGACACAGCCGUGUCUAAUCCAUCUAUUUCAAAUUGGGAGUUUGAAACAUACUUUGGACUGUACAGUUUUGCACACAGAGGAUAUGCUCUGAUCUUUUAUGCCUCCUCCUUUAGUUAAGCUAGGUUUUCACACCGACAGCAGAGCUAUUGUGUGCAUGACAUUUACUGCUGGAAAUGGAUGCUGGGUCUUGGCAAUGAAUGGAAAAUCUGAGCAUUAGCAAUGAAAAGAUAUCUUCAGUGUUCCUUGGUCUCUUGUUAGUCAUUCAACGUAGAGGAAUUCAGCACAGAGGAAACACGCUGGGUGAGUGUCAGUGUUCCCAGCUCUGCCUGAAGAAAAACCCUGCUAUAAAACAGAGUAUGGGCACCGAGCAUGACAGGAUCCAGAUUUUCAGUGCACACCAAUGAAAACCUUCCUGACAGAAGAGUUCCAGAAACCCAGCUGGGGUUUAUUUGGGAAACGUGCAGUUUUCCACAUAAGAAAGUAAAUUGAGAUGCUUGUUUUCAGAUUGUAUGGAAAAAUCUAAUUGCUCUGACUAAUUUGUAUUUAAAUGCAGCUUUAUAGCCUGCAGCAAGAAGACAUAGUCGAUAGGCUGGAAAGUAUAGUGUCAUCUGAACCAGAAGUUCCCCCUUUUUUUUUUAAUGUCUCUUGAGAAUGGUGUCCGUGGUCUGUGUCUGACUGCAUUCCCAGGAGACAACACAAGCUCUUUGUACAGCUGCUCCAGAAAAGGAACAGAUCCCUUAUGCUGAAAGUCAUCUCCUCCUGCUGCCUUUGGUUGCCCAGCAUGAUCAAUGGCACAUUUAUAUCCUGAAGCAAAGGGCCCUGCCUUUCCUUCUGAGUGAUUUGAGGUGGUGAAAGUGCUUUGUCAUCUGAUUACCAAAAUACUCCAAGCCAGCCAACCCAGGAAUCUAAACUAGCUGAAAAGGAACAUAAACCAGGCUCCUGUGGAGAGCUGCUCCUCCUCCAAAAGAUUUAUGUCUUUCUCUACAGAUUGCAAAAAUAUAUAAUGGAUCAAGAAGAUAACCACAACUAUAAAGAGAACAGUACAGGAAACUGCUUUGAGUGCUUGCUCAUCCCACUAAAAUCCUCUCGCUGAACACUGCCUCCAAGCAAUGGCUCUCCAUAAGUUUGAGGAAGGAGGGACUGGUUAUCCCCAGAGAAGCUUUUUUCUUUUUCUCUAGCUCUGCAAGUCCUCCAAAUCCAGGAGCUUGGGCCAAAGUGAGAAUAGGCUGAAGAAAAAUGCUUCCUAUCUCAGCUUCACAGUUACUUCUUCAAGUCCUGACAAUGUGAGCCAAAAGUUCCCUGACACAUAAGAAGGGCUCAGGAAACAUAAACAACAUUGCUCCAGCCAAAACACAAAAUGCUGCUUGCACAUUGGUGGAAGAAUUGUAUCUCAGGUGUGAUAGGUGUCCUGAAUGUGAGGUAAGAAAGACUUGGAACUUGGCCUUUGUGUGUCUCUACUCAUGAGCUGCCAAAGCUCAUCUUUGACAGGACACCUACAAUGACACAACCAAUUCAAAACCACAGAAUCAUUUAGGUCUUUAAGACCUUUAAGAUCAUCAGCUACAACCACAAACCUAACAUUGCCAAGACCAUCAAUGGAAAUGGAUUCAGUUUCAACUGGUUAUUGUUAUUUUUUCUGUUUCUAUUUUGAAACCACUUAGGGCUACCCACUGCAGCUGAUACCUGAUCACAGCAGAACUACAAGCGCAAGCAAAUUAAUUGAAUCUAUGCAAAGUAGUGCUGCUGCUUUAAGCUGGGGUCUGCCUCCAGUGAGUAACUUAGUGUGCAGUAGCCAGACUGAAUUUGCAACCCACAAGAUCAUCUGCACAAGGCUUUUGCAUAGUCAUUGGGAAAGCAGAGUUAUUUACUGUAAUAUAUAUUGUGUAAGUAAGAACACCCAUAAAAAUAUAGUUCAAAGUAGCUAAUGAACUAUACAUUCACCUCCUGGCUAAGUAUCCACUUAUUUGUUCCAUGUAUUAAUGUACAACCUAAAUUAGAAACCAUAUGAGCUGGUGAACCCCAUGUUUCCUUUUGUGCCACGGCAAAAACAAAAUCUAUAGCACUAACAGGUUAAGGAAGCAACAGGAGAGGAGGGACAUGUACUCCGGUAAUCCACACAAGCACCAGCACUC
Molecule: long non-coding RNA, 3386 nt
Organism: Passer domesticus (house sparrow)
Lineage: Eukaryota; Metazoa; Chordata; Aves; Passeriformes; Passeridae
Exons: 3
Source: RefSeq, a predicted model, not a curated record